GAGUUUGAUCCUGGCUCAGGAUGAACGCUAGCGGCAGGCCUAACACAUGCAAGUCGAGGGGUAGAGGGGUGCUUGCACCCCUUGAGACCGGCGCACGGGUGCGUAACGCGUAUGCAACCUACCUAUUGCAGGGGAAUAGCCCAGGGAAACUUGGAUUAAUGCCCCAUAGUCCAUAUUGAGAGCAUUCGAUAUAUGGUAAAGAUUUAUCGGCAAUAGAUGGGCAUGCGUCCCAUUAGCUAGUUGGUAUGGUAACGGCAUACCAAGGCAACGAUGGGUAGGGGCCCUGAGAGGGGGAUCCCCCACACUGGUACUGAGACACGGACCAGACUCCUACGGGAGGCAGCAGUGAGGAAUAUUGGACAAUGGGCGGGAGCCUGAUCCAGCCAUGCCGCGUGCGGGAAGACUGCCCUAUGGGUUGUAAACUGCUUUUUUACGGGAAGAAACACCCCCACGUGUGGGGGCUUGACGGUACCGUACGAAUAAGGACCGGCUAACUCCGUGCCAGCAGCCGCGGUAAUACGGAGGGUCCGAGCGUUAUCCGGAAUCAUUGGGUUUAAAGGGUCCGUAGGCGGGCGUCUAAGUCAGUGGUGAAAUCCCGCAGCUCAACUGUGGAAUUGCCAUUGAUACUGGUCGCCUUGAAUUAGUGUGAAGUGGCUAGAAUAUGUAGUGUAGCGGUGAAAUGCUUAGAUAUUACAUAGAAUACCGAUUGCGAAGGCAGGUCACUAACACUAUAUUGACGCUGAUGGACGAAAGCGUGGGGAGCGAACAGGAUUAGAUACCCUGGUAGUCCACGCCGUAAACGAUGGAUACUAGCUGUCCGGCCUGCAUUGGUAGGCUGGGUGGCCAAGCGAAAGUGAUAAGUAUCCCACCUGGGGAGUACGUUCGCAAGAAUGAAACUCAAAGGAWUUGACGGGGGCCCGCACAAGCGGUGGAGCAUGUGGUUUAAUUCGAUGAUACGCGAGGAACCUUACCAGGGCUUAAAUGUAGUCUGACAGGGGUGGAAACACCCCCUUCUUCGGACAGACUGCAAGGUGCUGCAUGGUUGUCGUCAGCUCGUGCCGUGAGGUGUCAGGUUAAGUCCUAUAACGAGCGCAACCCCUGUCGUUAGUUGCCAGCAUGUAAAGAUGGGAACUCUAACGAGACUGCCGGUGCAAACCGUGAGGAAGGUGGGGAUGACGUCAAAUCAUCACGGCCCUUACGUCCUGGGCCACACACGUGCUACAAUGGCAGGUACAAUGGGCAGCCACGCCGCAAGGCGGAGCGAAUCCACAAAACCUGUCUCAGUUCGGAUCGGGGUCUGCAACUCGACCCCGUGAAGCUGGAAUCGCUAGUAAUCGGAUAUCAGCCAUGAUCCGGUGAAUACGUUCCCGGGCCUUGUACACACCGCCCGUCAAGCCAUGGAAGCUGGAAGCACCUGAAGUCCGUCACCGCAAGGAGCGGCCUAGGGCAAGAUCGGUAACUAGGGCUAAGUCGUAACAAGGUAGCCGU
Molecule: ribosomal RNA, 1488 nt
Filed under: uncultured bacterium
Lineage: Bacteria
Description: bacterial SSU rRNA
Rfam family: Bacterial small subunit ribosomal RNA
Source: RNAcentral